GGGGGCGUAGUUCAGUUGGUUAGAAUGCCGGCCUGUCACGCCGGAGGUCGCGGGUUCGAGCCCCGUCGCUCCCGCCA
This 77-nucleotide transfer RNA is filed under the name Magnetococcales bacterium. RNAcentral describes it as "tRNA-Asp". It matches the Rfam family "tRNA". From Rfam's summary of the family: Transfer RNA (tRNA) molecules are approximately 80 nucleotides in length. The record is from RNAcentral. Lineage: Bacteria; Pseudomonadati; Pseudomonadota; Magnetococcia; Magnetococcales. RNAcentral also lists the same sequence under 1 other name.